Molecule: ribosomal RNA, 517 nt
Filed under: uncultured Actinomycetes bacterium
Lineage: Bacteria; Bacillati; Actinomycetota; Actinomycetes
Description: bacterial SSU rRNA
Rfam family: Bacterial small subunit ribosomal RNA
Source: RNAcentral
AGAGUUUGAUCCUGGCUCAGAGCGAACGCUGGCGGCGUGCUUAACACAUGCAAGUCGAGCGAGAAAGUCCCGCAAGGGAUGAGUACAGCGGCGAACGGGUGCGUAACACGUGGGCAAUCUAUCCUUGAGAUGGGGAUAACCCAGCGAAAGUUGGGCUAAUACCGGAUAAGACCACAGGAGGAAACUCCAGAGGUCAAAGGGCGCUUUCUUUUGGGAGCACUCGCUCAGGGCGGAGCCCGCGGCCUAUCAGCUUGUUGGUAGGGUAACGGCCUACCAAGGCGAGGACGGGUAGCUGGUCUGAGAGGAUGACCAGCCACACGGGGACUGAGACACGGCCCAGACUCCUACGGGAGGCAGCAGUGGGGAAUCUUGCGCAAUGGGCGAAAGCCUGACGCAGCGACGCCGCGUGAGGGAUGACGGCCUUCGGGUUGUAAACCUCUUUCAGCUCCGACGAAGCGAAAGUGACGGUAGGAGCAGAAGAAGCACCGGCCAACUACGUGCCAGCAGCCGCGGUAAU